CAGUAGCCGCGGUAAUACAGAGGGUGCAAGCGUUAAUCGGAAUUACUGGGCGUAAAGCGCGCGUAGGUGGUUUGUUAAGUUGGAUGUGAAAUCCCCGGGCUCAACCUGGGAACUGCAUCCAAAACUGGCAAGCUAGAGUAUGGUAGAGGGUGGUGGAAUUUCAUGUGUAGCGGUGAAAUGCGUAGAUAUAGGAAGGAACACAAGUGGCGAAGGCGACCACCUGGACUGAUACUGACACUGAGGUGCGAAAGCGUGGGGAGCAAACAGGAUUAGAUACCCCUGUAGUCCCUGUCUCUUAUAC
This 301-nucleotide ribosomal RNA is filed under the name uncultured bacterium. RNAcentral's name for it is "partial 16S ribosomal RNA". It matches the Rfam family "Bacterial small subunit ribosomal RNA", at positions 509 to 807 of the family's 1533-position model. The record is from RNAcentral.